Molecule: ribosomal RNA, 497 nt
Filed under: uncultured bacterium
Lineage: Bacteria
Description: partial 16S ribosomal RNA
Rfam family: Bacterial small subunit ribosomal RNA
Source: RNAcentral
GACGAACGCUGGCGGCGUGCCUAAUACAUGCAAGUUGAGCGAUGAAGCUUGGUGCUUGCACCAAUUUGAAGAGCAGCGAACGGGUGAGUAACGCGUGGGGAAUCUGCCUUUGAGCGGGGGGCAACAUUUGGAAACGAAUGCUAAUACCGCAUAACAACUUUAAACAUAAGUUUUAAGUUUGAAAGAUGCAAUUGCAUCACUCAAAGAUGAUCCCGCGUUGUAUUAGCUAGUUGGUGAGGUAAAGGCUCACCAAGGCGAUGAUACAUAGCCGACCUGAGAGGGUGAUCGGCCACAUUGGGACUGAGACACGGCCCAAACUCCUACGGGAGGCAGCAGUAGGGAAUCUUCGGCAAUGGACGAAAGUCUGACCGAGCAACGCCGCGUGAGUGAAGAAGGGUUUCGGAUCGUAAAACUCUGUUGGUAGAGAAGAACGUUGGUGAGAGUGGAAAGCUCAUCAAGUGACGGUAACUACCCAGAAAGGGACGGCUAACUACGUG